AUGGCGGACCGGCGCACGGGUGAGUAACGCGUAUGCAACCUGCCCGAUACCGGGGUAUAGCCCAUGGAAACGUGGAUUAACACCCCAUAGUACUUUUAUCCUGCCUGGGAUGGGAGUUAAAUGUUCAAGGUAUCGGAUGGGCAUGCGUCCUAUUAGUUAGUUGGCGGGGUAACAGCCCACCAAGACGAUGAUAGGUAGGGGUUCUGAGAGGAAGGUCCCCCACAUUGGAACUGAGACACGGUCCAA
This 246-nucleotide ribosomal RNA is filed under the name uncultured bacterium. Its description in RNAcentral is "partial 16S ribosomal RNA". It matches the Rfam family "Bacterial small subunit ribosomal RNA", at positions 87 to 334 of the family's 1533-position model. The record is from RNAcentral.